This 302-nucleotide ribosomal RNA is filed under the name uncultured Anoxybacillus sp. RNAcentral describes it as "bacterial SSU rRNA". It matches the Rfam family "Bacterial small subunit ribosomal RNA", at positions 1080 to 1382 of the family's 1533-position model. The record is from RNAcentral. Lineage: Bacteria; Bacillati; Bacillota; Bacilli; Caryophanales; Anoxybacillaceae.
UUAAGUCCCGCAACCGAGCGCAACCCUCGACCUUAGUUGCCAGCAUUCAGUUGGGCACUCUAAGGUGACUGCCGGCUAAAAGUCGGAGGAAGGUGGGGAUGACGUCAAAUCAUCAUGCCCCUUAUGACCUGGGCUACACACGUGCUACAAUGGGCGGUACAAAGGGUCGCGAACCCGCGAGGGGGAGCCAAUCCCAAAAAGCCGCUCUCAGUUCGGAUUGCAGGCUGCAACUCGCCUGCAUGAAGCCGGAAUCGCUAGUAAUCGCGGAUCAGCAUGCCGCGGUGAAUACGUUCCCGGGCCUU